Molecule: ribosomal RNA, 1245 nt
Filed under: Micrococcus sp.
Lineage: Bacteria; Bacillati; Actinomycetota; Actinomycetes; Micrococcales; Micrococcaceae
Description: bacterial SSU rRNA
Rfam family: Bacterial small subunit ribosomal RNA
Source: RNAcentral
AACCUGCCCUUAACUCUGGGAUAAGCCUGGGAAACUGGGUCUAAUACCGGAUAGGAGCGUCCACCGCAUGGUGGGUGUUGGAAAGAUUUAUCGGUUUUGGAUGGACUCGCGGCCUAUCAGCUUGUUGGUGAGGUAAUGGCUCACCAAGGCGACGACGGGUAGCCGGCCUGAGAGGGUGACCGGCCACACUGGGACUGAGACACGGCCCAGACUCCUACGGGAGGCAGCAGUGGGGAAUAUUGCACAAUGGGCGCAAGCCUGAUGCAGCGACGCCGCGUGAGGGAUGACGGCCUUCGGGUUGUAAACCUCUUUCAGUAGGGAAGAAGCGAAAGUGACGGUACCUGCAGAAGAAGCACCGGCUAACUACGUGCCAGCAGCCGCGGUAAUACGUAGGGUGCGAGCGUUAUCCGGAAUUAUUGGGCGUAAAGAGCUCGUAGGCGGUUUGUCGCGUCUGUCGUGAAAGUCCGGGGCUUAACCCCGGAUCUGCGGUGGGUACGGGCAGACUAGAGUGCAGUAGGGGAGACUGGAAUUCCUGGUGUAGCGGUGGAAUGCGCAGAUAUCAGGAGGAACACCGAUGGCGAAGGCAGGUCUCUGGGCUGUAACUGACGCUGAGGAGCGAAAGCAUGGGGAGCGAACAGGAUUAGAUACCCCUGGUAGUCCAUGCCGUAAACGUUGGGCACUAGGUGUGGGGACCAUUCCACGGUUUCCGCGCCGCAGCUAACGCAUUAAGUGCCCCGCCUGGGGAGUACGGCCGCAAGGCUAAAACUCAAAGGAAUUGACGGGGGCCCGCACAAGCGGCGGAGCAUGCGGAUUAAUUCGAUGCAACGCGAAGAACCUUACCAAGGCUUGACAUGUUCUCGAUCGCCGUAGAGAUACGGUUUCCCCUUUGGGGCGGGUUCACAGGUGGUGCAUGGUUGUCGUCAGCUCGUGUCGUGAGAUGUUGGGUUAAGUCCCGCAACGAGCGCAACCCUCGUUCCAUGUUGCCAGCACGUAAUGGUGGGGACUCAUGGGAGACUGCCGGGGUCAACUCGGAGGAAGGUGAGGACGACGUCAAAUCAUCAUGCCCCUUAUGUCUUGGGCUUCACGCAUGCUACAAUGGCCGGUACAAUGGGUUGCGAUACUGUGAGGUGGAGCUAAUCCCAAAAAGCCGGUCUCAGUUCGGAUUGGGGUCUGCAACUCGACCCCAUGAAGUCGGAGUCGCUAGUAAUCGCAGAUCAGCAACGCUGCGGUGAAUACGUUCCCGGG